This is an RNA transcript of Rhodamnia argentea, 1587 nucleotides long. It is a transcript of the gene named protein RADIALIS-like 4, with no coding region annotated. The transcript has 3 exons. The record is from RefSeq and is a predicted model, not a curated record. NCBI's taxonomy places the organism in Eukaryota, Viridiplantae, Streptophyta, Magnoliopsida, Myrtales, Myrtaceae.
GGAAUGGAGAUUAAGUUCAUGUUUCUCACUUGCUGACAGAUCCAGACAGGGAAAAACUUGACCCAAAAAAAAGCAAUCUUUCUUUCUAGAUUUUCCCCCCCAUCUUUUGUUAAAAGUCUUUGAAUCCAUUUCCUCCCAAUUUCCAGUCCUUCCUCCUAAAAAGUCCUCGAGCGUGACCCAGUUGGAGACUGUGAUUUGCUUGGGAUGAUUUUCCAAGAUAAAGUCAGGAUGAAAUCGGUCGGUCGUUUGCCAUUAUUGGGUUUUUAAAUUCCUGAACCUAGGAAUAAAAUAUGAGUGAUGCUGUGGUUCCGGAUCUUACACCCUUUGGAAUCCAGUGCUAGAAUUAGAAACAAAUAGAUUCUGGGUCUUGCAAGAAAUGGUUAAUGAAGUAAUGGGUAUGUCUGUUUUCGAUCAUUGGUUUCCAGUUUUAGUCCAAAUGGAUUGAUCUUCAGAAUUCUCGCCCUCAUUGUUUAAAAUCUUGGCUUCUGUCUUUAUUAUCUCUCUCUCUCUCUGUGCCAGUGGUUAGAUUUCAAUUCAGGUGAGCCAAUUGUGUCUGACACCAAGACUGAAUAAACAAAUCUGAGCCGCAGAUGACACCUGAAACCCAAAAAGCAAGAAGUGGGUGGUGUUUGUGCUCAUAGAAUCAAGCAAGGAAUCAGAGAAAAAGGUCUGAUUUAUUGCCAUCUGUGUCUUGGCUGAGUGCAAGAAUUUGAAGUAGAAUCUGGGGAAGACUUUGUUUCUUUGAAAGAAAACAAUCGACUUCUGAUUGUCCAGUUUUCUGGGGGAUUUGAUCUUGGUGGUAUCGUUGAGGAUGGGUGAAUUCCCCAAGGAGUGGAGUUGGGAAGAGAACAAGCUCUUUGAGGUGGCUCUGGCAAUGGUGGAUGAACAAGAUCCGGAUCGGUGGGAGGCCGUUGCGGCCAUUGUCGGAGGGAAGAAGAGCGUAGAGGAAGUGCAGAGACAUUAUGUAAUCCUUUUGGAGGAUUUGCACUUCAUUGAAUCUGGGUGUCUUGAUCACGAACUGGAGGAUGCUCAGUCAUAUGGUCAAGUUGAGUGUAUUAGUCAGUCAGUGUAUUGGACAGAUGAGGAUCAAAAAUUGCUCAUUCAGUUGGACAUAAACUGAUCAGUAAAGCCCAAGAGCCAUUCAUUCAAGCAGUUUGUCUCUUAAUUGAGAGCUCAUGCCUAAGCAGAAGACAGACAGUAGUACUUCAGUAUUUUGCUGUUAUUUCUGUAUUUCUUCUUUAUCCUUCUGAUGUUUCGUCGACAAAUGAAGUUCAAGUGGCAAGUUUGAUCACUGUAUUAGCAAAAUGUAUCCGAAACCUUGUCCACCAAACUUCUAGUGAUCAAUGUAAAUACGGCUAAAGAAUCGCGAUGGGAAGUUGUGGGUUUAUGUUAUUCUCUUCAGGUUAGCGUCUUGUGCUUUGUUCCUUCCUGUUCUUUUGGUUUUGCGACCCCAGAUCGUGUGAGCUGCAGCGUUCGGUUUACUGAAGCUUUUUAACUCAUUUGAACAAACAGAAAUUGAUGCUUUUGUAUUCUCUGGUGGUGAAGUGAAUUGAUCAGACCCUAAAGUAGGCUUCUUUAAGCUGUCAA